AACGGAUCUCAAACUCAACAUUACGUCACUUAAACGCGCCAUCGUAAGUGCCAAACUUGUAUAGUGAAGCAUGGGACACCUUGGCGCUACAAUCAUCCUGAUUCAUAUUUUAUUUUGGACUAUUUGCAAUGGUUUGCCGAAGUGCAAGCGGGACGAGUAUGCCUGCGCCAACCGGCGCUGUGUAUCCACAGACUUCCUCUGUGACAAGGUGGAUGAUUGUGGUGAUGGGAGCGACGAGGCCUCCUGUAAUCCAGACCGGCCGUACCUAACGGUCCCUGGAGCCCCCACUCCUUCCUCUCACACCUCCUGUGGCCCCUCGGAGUUCAGAUGUGGGGACGGAGAGUGCAUCCCACAUGCCUUCCGAUGCGACCACUCGGAGGACUGUGCAGAUAAGAGUGACGAGCAAGACUGUGAUAAGAACGAGUGUGAGGAAAACAACGGGGGCUGCUCUCACCUGUGCCUGGACCAGCCCAUGGGUGUCUUGUGUGCCUGCCCCCCAGGCAUGAUGCUAGUGGGGGACACUCGGUGUGAAGAAAUUGAUGAGUGCCUUAGCAACGAUGUCUGCAGUCAGAUUUGUAUCCGUGUGAAUGGCACCUUGACCUGCGAGUGCCAUCAAGGUUACACAAUGGGUCCCCACACAGGAGAAUGCCUAGCCAUUGGAGACCGGGCUGUCAUUGUGUUCAGCAGUUUGACUGGCCUGCGUUCCGUGGACAUGUUGGGUCAGGAGUACCGACUGGUUGCUGAAUCCUCCACCACUCCGGGCCCAGUGGCCACACUUGUUUCAAACCGCACCAUCUACUGGGCCAGCUCCGAGCAAGGCACCAUUUACAGGACAUCACUUGAGGGAAAUACUCAUGAGUCUGUGUUGCUGUUAAGGAGCCAGGGCACAAUUCUGGGUUUGGCUGUGGACUGGAUCCACCAUCUGCUUUACUGGACCAACACCAACACACAUUCUGUGAAUGUGGCCACUCUGGACGGAGCCCAGCGGCGUCUUUUGGUGAAAGGCCUGUCCAAACCCACUGGGGUAGCAGUGGAGCCCCUGGAGGGGCUGCUUUUCUGGGCUGAUGCCGGUACCACACCCAGGAUUGAGCGUGCAUCGCUGGAUGGACGUGGGAGAACAACCCUUGUCACCUCUGUGUUACAAAGCCCAGUAGCCAUUGCUCUAGAUCUCCCACGCAAGCUCCUGUACUGGGCGGAUGCUGGGAGGCGCUCAUUAUCACGGGUCAACUUUGACGGCCGGCAGCGUAAGACCGUGCUGGAGUCCAACGGGUACCUGGACCGGCCGUUUGGACUAACUGUGUUCGAGGGCCAUGUGUUCUGGUCUGACCAGGCCAGCGGCACUGUGAGUCGUGCCAGCAAGCACGAUGGCAGCUCGACUCUGGUGCUCCUAGACCAGACACCCUCGCCGGGGGGGUUAGCUGUGGUACACCCCGUCCUGCAGCCGCAUGGUCAAGCAGCGUGUGGCUUCCCAGGGAAGGUGUGUCCAUCUGGGUGUGUGCAGGAAUUCUUCUCUGAGAAGGGAAUGCCUGGUUUCACUUGUUUGUCUCCUACAGAUCCUACAAGGAGUUCAUCAUACCAACCUAUGCUGAAGUCAGACCUUUCUGAGGCCAGCUUUGCAUGGAUAGUGUCACUCAUUGUGCUGCUCAGCCUGCUGCUGGUGGGGCUGCUGUGGUGGUGGAGGGUGGAGCUCAGCUCCACCCAAAGAAGCCCCAGUCUCCAAGCUGAUGACUUUCUUGGAGAGUCCCGUGACCCCCUGAUGCCUGCUGCCCCCCUCAACGGCCAUCUCCUCAAUGAGACUGCUUAAGCUGGCGGAGGUGAUGGGACGGACGGUGCUUGCGUGAAGACGAUGGGUCGGGUGAUUUGUGAAGAGUCAGCGUGAUCCUGUCAACCUGUCAUCCUGUCUCCUGCCAUGUCCUCUCCGUCUCAACUAUUAAAGGCUUCCAAGUUCCUGCUGCUGCCUGCCGGGUCUCUAUUCACAGAGAAAAACUUAGAAUUUGUUUGGCUUGAUGGUAUCCAAUAGGACUAAGGAAUUUUGUUUGUUGAAUUGUUUUUUUUUUCUGUGUGUCUGAGGUUUUUCUUCCUUGCUCCUUUUCUGAAAACUUUCCAGGAAGAAAUUCCAAUGUUGGCUAACCUUUUGGCGUCUGUGAGAUGCACAACAGUGAUCUAUAUUGAAUCAGAGAGAUGAACAAUAUCAUUACUUAACAAAGAGGCUGUGAUGAGUCACCCUAGGCACAUGCUUGAGUGACUUCCUCAUUUAAGGAUUAAUCAAACUUGAACCAAGCUGCCUAUUACUGUAACAUGGCCAUGAUGUUACGGUAUUAUGUGCUAACCUAUUUAGUUGGCUAAGUAGUUAACUGUUUUCUCAGUAUUUGUAACACAUGCUUUUCUGGCCUUAACUGUAACUUGUUUGUCUCUGGCACUGUUAAGUUGAUGGCCAUACAAGUUCUACUAUUCAGAUAUUCUGAAUGGCUUAUUAGCUGGUUUAUCGAAAGUAAUGAUCAUAGGUUGCACUAGUAUGAUUAAUAUAUUCAGUACUUUGGUGUGAAUACUGUACUUCCUGCUGGAAAAAGUUAUGAGCAAUGAUUAUGCAUUGCGUAGAGCUAUCAUUUUAUUUGCACUUUCUUCUGUUUCUGUUGGUGAUUUCUGCUUUCCUUGUUUGGUUGCUUAUUAAUGCUGAAAUAGAAACAAAUCUGUUAUAUUGUAAUUCUCAGUGGUACAAUUGGGAAUGAUUGUUUGAAAGCUACAACACUUGGAAAUUGUGAAAUGUCAGAUUGUUUGGAUCUUUCAGAUUUUCAGGUUGCAUCAUAUGAUUGUUUUAUUUGAAAACAAAGUGUUAUAUUUAUCGUUUAUUUAAUGGUUUUGAUCAAAGAUUCUGUAGUAUAUGAGUAUUUUUUUCUGUUAAAAGCUCUUAAAAUCAGAAUGUGAGAUAAAGCAAUUGUACUGUAGUUUUUGAAUGAAAUAAACUGUUGAAAAAUGAA
Molecule: RNA transcript, 2978 nt
Organism: Sardina pilchardus (European sardine)
Lineage: Eukaryota; Metazoa; Chordata; Actinopteri; Clupeiformes; Clupeidae
Gene name: very low-density lipoprotein receptor-like
Exons: 14
Source: RefSeq, a predicted model, not a curated record